Molecule: long non-coding RNA, 2545 nt
Filed under: Homo sapiens (human)
Lineage: Eukaryota; Metazoa; Chordata; Mammalia; Primates; Hominidae
Description: HSALNT0076625
Source: RNAcentral
AAAUGCCCAGCUCGCCCUUUCCAUCCACAUUCCUCUGCUCAUUCAACAGAACCAUCUGGUGUGUGCCUACCAUGUGCUGAGGACUUAGAAGCAACACCUCAGUCAUUUUCCUUGGGGAUCUCUCAGUCUGUCAGCUGUGGUGAUAGGGACAGGCAACCCAUAAGACAGGUGGGGAAGGGAGCACCGAAAGUCAAUGAAGAGAUGUGAUCUGGAGUGAUUUACUACCAGGCCAAGUGACAGUCACCCUAUUUUGCUAUUUUUUAAUUACCAUUUCGAAUUAAUAAUGUGUCUCUUCCCACGCAUCCCCCUCAGAGUGGGGCGUAAACACCUUUGUAUGUGACUGUGCAGAGCUUUGAAGCUCCCAGAACAGCAGCCCUCCUGCCUUGCCUUCUCCCCAGGACCAGUCUGUAUUGGACACCAGUGACAUGAGGCCAUUCACCAACCUUGAGGAGAGUUCCAGCCCUCAGCAGACACCCAGGAGACUCUGUUCUCAAUACUCUGUACUAACAACUUGACACAAUGCCAAUACAACCUCAUGAUUAAGAGAAACCAGGCAUGACUCAAUAAACUUUGAUUGUUUGGGACAUCUGCCUCAGUCACUCAUUUUGGUUGUCAGCAUGGACUCUAGAUCAGACCAAGUUGACCUCCCUUCUUCACCAUUAACUGCUUUGAGAUAAGAAGCUACAGCAUCUGUCAAGAGCCGUAUGUAGCUUGAGAUGACUACCUGAAGAUGUAUCAUGGUAUCAGCUGGUUAGUUAAGAAGUCGUUUUCCAGCUUCAACUGGCAAGUAACAAGCCAAGCAAGAAUUUCAAUGGAAAAUUACAGAGAUACUAACAGGUUUGAGUACUUAUGAAUACAAAAUAAAUAAACGGAUUUAAAUUACUUUAUUAUUACAAUGCAGAAAUGAGGAAGUGUAAUAGCCAGCUAGUCUUGGAACAUGGCACUGUGAAUGAAAUGAUUAAUUGCAUAUUCAUCUGGUCUCAGAUACAGGACAUUCUCUUGCAUAGGUUAAAUGUAUUAAUGGUAGAGAAUUAUGCAAAAAAUACUCAUUUUCUCCAAUACCAGAACAUACAGGAAGCAAGUAAAGUGAGUGCCUUUUUACCAAUAGUACCAGUAGAUAAGAAGAUAAGAUACAGAUAAUAAAGCACAGAGCAUUGCACAGAUCUACACCAAUGGAUUGGAAUGGAAUGUAGGAUUCUCUUCUUGCUGUGGACACCAUCAAAAUGUGAGAUCACUUCUCUGCUCAAUAGGACAAUCAUACUGAUUCCUUAGGAAGACAUAUAGGAAUCAGUAGAGGGAGAUCCUACCCUGGAAUCGUUUGAUGUCCUUGGGUUAUCUUCCUCUACAAAAAGGGCUAGUUGAAAUAAUGACAUGUGGGAGAUCAGCACUCCAAGUCAAAAUUGCAAAACAGAAGAAAAUUCCAGAAUUAUAUCACUGUUAAGAUAGCAACAAAUAAAUAAUUUGCACCCUACAACCCAUGUGUGAAUUUAAUUCUGGAAAACCCAAUCUGAGACAGGGACAUCCAUCACCAUGUGAAAAAGCCUGGGAUAGUCUGCUGGAAGAAAAUGUAACUUGCAGAGAAUAGAACAGAUAAACCUUGCAGUGUACCCAGUUGGAUUUCAGAACAUUGAAGAGCAGCAGCUUUUAUGGGAAUAAGAGUGUCCCUUACAGGUAAUCUCCUCGACAUUUAUAUUGGGUGAGUCACAGUCAGAAAAUAUCUUAGUUUGUAACUUUGAGGAUGAAGAGUAGGUGUAUUCAAGGAGCUACCUUCUUGAACACAAUUGAAGGUCAUGAAAUUCUGAACUUCAAGGUUGAUACCAUGAUUUCAUGAGACUUUUGAAAGUCCUAGGAUGGCAAUGAGAAUAUCUUUUAUGUGGAAAAAUUGUGGGUAAUUUGUGGCCAGAGGUUGGACUGUGGUAGAUUCGAAAAGUGGUUGCAAAAGUUUUCCAUUCUUGUUUCAUGUCCUUCAGUCAUGACUUCUCCUAGUGACUUUAAGAUUAUCGAUGUGAUUUGCUUUGCCUAUGAGGCAAUAAGCAAAUGUGACACAAGCAGAGGCUUAAAAAUGCGUAUGCUUUAGGAGAGGUUAGCUGUUGCUCUUGGGAAACACAGAACCAUAUAAAGCUGCUAACCUUCUGGCAGAUGAGAAUCAUCACGGAGCAGAGAUGAGGCUAAACAGCUGAGGCUUCUCUAAAAAACAAAACAAACAAACAAACAAACAAAAGCAGUGCACUUCUCAGGUGAUUGGCAUCGGAUAGCAGAAGCAUCGGUGAGUCAGCUGAGGUACAUAGAAGAAAUGCCUACCUGAGCCAACCCAAAUUGCCAACCCACAAAAAUCUGAAACCAAAUAAAUUGUUUAAAACUACUAGGUUUGAGAGUAUUUUGUUACAAAGCAGGUUAACCAAGGCAAUUAAAUGUAAAAGGUAUACUAAAUGAAUAAUUUUAUAAACAUUAAGCCAUAAUGACAUCAAAUUGAUUUUGAAGUUCAUUAAUGCAUACAGUCCUCAAACUGCUUUAUUCAUUGUAUACUGUAAUGUUUCACAUUUAA